RNAcentral lists this ribosomal RNA (679 nucleotides) under uncultured marine group I thaumarchaeote. RNAcentral describes it as "bacterial SSU rRNA". It matches the Rfam family "Archaeal small subunit ribosomal RNA", at positions 321 to 999 of the family's 1478-position model. Lineage: Archaea; Thermoproteati; Nitrososphaerota. The record is from RNAcentral.
CCCUAUGGGGUGCAGCAGGCGAGAAAACUUUGCAAUGCGCGAAAGCUCGACAAGGUUAAUCUGAGUGGUUCCUGCUAAAGGAACCUUUUGUUAGUCGUAGAACCACUGAUGAAUAAGGGGUGGGCAAGUUCUGGUGUCAGCCGCCGCGGUAAAACCAGCACCUCAAGUGGUCAGGAUGAUUAUUGGGCCUAAAGCAUCCGUAGCCUGUUCUGUAAGUUUUCGGUUAAAUCCAUAAGCUCAACUUAUGGGCUGCCGAAAAUACUGCAGAACUAGGGAGUGGGAGAGGUAGACGGUACUCGGUAGGAAGGGGUAAAAUCCUUUGAUCUAUUGAUGACCACCUGUGGCGAAGGCGGUCUACCAGAACACGUUCGACGGUGAGGGAUGAAAGCUGGGGGAGCAAACCGGAUUAGAUACCCGGGUAGUCCCAGCUGUAAACGAUGCAAACUCGAUGAUGCGUUGGCUUGUUGCUAGCGCAAUGUCGCAGGGAAGCCGUUAAGUUUGCCGCCUGGGAAGUACGUACGCAAGUAUGAAACUUAAGGGAAUUGGCGGGGGGAGCACACAAGGGGUGAAGCCUGCGGUUCAAUUGGGAGUCAACGCCCUGAAACCUUACCCGGAGAGACAGCAUAAUGAAGGUCAGCCUGAAAACUUUACCAACAAGCUUAAAGGGGGGUGGCUGGGC